Molecule: long non-coding RNA, 660 nt
Filed under: Micromonas commoda
Lineage: Eukaryota; Viridiplantae; Chlorophyta; Mamiellophyceae; Mamiellales; Mamiellaceae
Description: long non-coding RNA (MCOM_LNC000378)
Source: RNAcentral
GACAAGAUUGGCAAGGAUGGCAAGAAGAAGCGCGGCCGCGGCAAGGGCAAGGAUGUCACCGACCCCAACAAGCCUAAGGGCCCCAAGGGUGCAUACAUGUGCUUCGUGCAGAUCGCCCGCCCUAAGAUCAACGCCGCCAACCCCGACCUCAAGUUCGCGGAGAUCGCCAAGAUGCUGGGCGAACAGUGGAAGAACAUGGACACCACCACCCGCGCUGGUUACGAGAAGAUGGCCGAGCAGGACAAGGAGCGCUACCAGAGGGAGAUUGCCGCCUACGUGCCCAUGUCCGAGGCUGGCCUCGAGCAGCUGCGCAAGGAGAAGGCAGCCAAGAAGUCCGCCGGUGGUCUCCAGAAGCCCUACAAGUGCUCCGCCGCGCUCACCAAGUUCCUCGGCGGCGACAAGACGAUCUCCCGCGCGACCCUCACCUCCAAGAUGUGGUCGUACUUCAAGGAGAAGAACCUCAUGGACCCCGAGAACAAGCGCUGGAUCAUCGCGGACAAGCCCUUGUCCGACCUCCUCGGCAUCGAUCGCUUCCAGGGCUUCACCGUAUCCAAAUACCUGUCCCCCCACCUCCUCCCCAUGGAGUAAGUGGUUUGUGCCAAACUCAACACCUCUGUGUCACUUGGGGACAGGGAAUCGCUGGGCUGGGAUAGUUCUGCA